UACGUAGGGGGCUAGCGUUGUCCGGAUUUAUUGGGCGUAAAGAGCGUGUAGGCGGCCAGAUAGGUCUGCUGUGAAAACUCGAGGCUCAACCUCGAGCUGUCGGCGGAAACCAUUUGGCUAGAGUCCGGAAGAGGAGAGUGGAAUUCCUGGUGUAGCGGUGAAAUGCGCAGAUAUCAGGAAGAACACCGAUGGCGAAGGCAGCUCUCUGGGACGGUACUGACGCUGAGACGCGAAAGCGUGGGGAGCGAACAGG
This 253-nucleotide ribosomal RNA is filed under the name uncultured bacterium. RNAcentral's name for it is "partial 16S ribosomal RNA". It matches the Rfam family "Bacterial small subunit ribosomal RNA", at positions 524 to 776 of the family's 1533-position model. The record is from RNAcentral.